This 379-nucleotide small RNA is filed under the name Fictibacillus arsenicus. RNAcentral describes it as "Bacillus arsenicus cspA thermoregulator". It matches the Rfam family "cspA thermoregulator". The record is from Rfam by way of RNAcentral. Lineage: Bacteria; Bacillati; Bacillota; Bacilli; Caryophanales; Fictibacillaceae.
AGAAGUGGAACACUUAAAUCCGCUUCUGAUUAUUCAGAUGAGUACGCAUUUUUUUAUGCCUUUUUAUUUACAUAGUAAUACGGUUAAAAGAGUUAAAACGCUUACAUAGCGUUUGUAAGGAGGAAACACCCAUGCAAAAUGGUAAAGUAAAAUGGUUUAACGCUGAGAAAGGUUUCGGCUUCAUCGAAGUUGAAGGCGGAAACGACGUAUUCGUUCACUUUUCUGCGAUUCAAUCAGAAGGCUUCAAGUCUCUUGAAGAAGGACAAGAAGUAUCUUUCGAAAUCGUUGAUGGCGAGCGUGGACCACAAGCUGCUAACGUAACAAAACUUUAAUAGUAAAGUUUAGAAUGCCAGACUGCCCCCGGGCGGUGCUGGCAUUU